CCGAGCCAGCCAGGCAGCCUUACAUGGACAUCUCAGGGACAUGGUAUUUAUGAGAUGAGGUAUCCAGUGAAGCAGCCAUGCAAGCUCCCCCUCCCUGCCCAGCUUCACUCCAAGGUGCCGCACUCCUCCCACUGUGUCUCUGCAUACACACCCAGCCCCUUCCAGAGCCCCCUCUCCUUCCUGGGGACAGGACGGUGGGACUGGCAGGCUAAGGCUGUACAUGAGAGGGAGCCGACACUGGACUCCUGAUUUCACCAGACAGGUAAAGUGUGACUGAGAGAGGAGAAGCGACCUUCUCAACGCCCCAAGACCAGUGGGUGGCAGAGCCGGAUGUUGAACUCACAUUUCUUUGACACCCAAGCCUGCACUUGUUGAACCGCCCAGGCAGGCAGAGACACAUAGACACAGAAGGAAGAUGAUGUGAGGACACAGGUAGGCCACCACGUGAAGACAGAGGAUGGGUGAUGCACCUACAAGCCAAGGAACACCAAAGAUCGCUGGAAACCUCCAGAAGCUGGAAAGAGGCAAGGAAGGGCCCCUGCAGGUUUCAGAGGGAGCACAGGCCUGCCAACACCUUGAUUUUUGACUUCUAGCCUCCAGAACUGUGAGACAAUACAUUUCUGUUGUUUUAAGUCACCUAGUUUGUGAUACUUUUUUAGGACAGCCCUAGAAAACCAAUAUAAGCUAUUGUGUAAAACAGCUGAGCAGCUCCUCAAAACAUUAAACAUAGAGUUACCCUAUGACUCCACAAUUCCACUCCCAACUACACACACCCAAGAGAAAUGAAAACAGAUGUCCACACAAAAACUUGUACAUGAAUCCUCAUGGCAACAUUAGUCAUAAUAACCAAAAAGUGAAACAACCCAAAUGUCCACCAACUGAUGAAUGGAAAAACAACAUGGGCUACACUCAUAUAAUGGAAUAUUACUCAACCAUAAAAAGGGAGCUACAGCAUAGAUGUACCUUGAAAAUAUUAUGCAAAGAAAAAGAAGCCAGUCUUGAAGACCACAGCUAUGAAACCAUCAGAAUCGGCAAAUAUAUAGAGACGGGAAGAUUAGUGGCUACUGAUUGCUGGGGUGAGGUCGGGGAGAGAUAGAGGGAUUAGGGGUUCAAGCUAAAGGGUACAGGGUUUCUUUCCGAGCUGCUGAAAAUCUUCUAAAAUUGACUGUGGUGACAGUCACACAACUCUGUGAUGAUACAAAAAAAAUCAUUGAAUUGUACACUUUAAAUGGGCGUAUUGUGUGGUAUGUGAAUUAGUUAUACCUCAAUAAAGUUGUUAAAAAAAAAAACCAGGAAAGAAAGCCCUCAACCCCAGGAAGCGCUAUUAAAUACAUGGGAUUGUGCUAGCACUGGCCAAGAAGACAGAGCUUGGUCUCCAGAAGCCAUAGACCAAUGGUUCUCAAAUGUGGCUGCAAAGGAAGUGCACAUGGGAAAUGUUAUUAAAAUAAAUUUUAUUAAGAUAUAAUUUACAUACAACAAAAUGCAUCCCUUUUAGGAAUAGAGUUCAACGGGUUUUGACAGGUGCAUGCAUAAUUACCACAAUCCAGAUAGAGAACAAUUCCAUCCCCCAAGGAAGUUCCUUCACACACCUUUGCAGCCAAUCUCCCCACCACUCCCAACUCCAGGUAACUACUAAUCUGCUCUGUCACUAGCGAUUUGUCUUUUCCAAAUUGCAUUAAAAGGGAAUCACCCAGUAUGUGCCCUUUUUGUGUCUGGCUUCUUUCACUCAGCAUGACGUUUUAGAGGUUCAUCCACACUGUUGCGCAUAGAUCAUUCCUUUUUAUUGCAGUGUAGUAUCCCACUGUACUAUGACAUUGCAAUUUCUUUAUCCAUUUACCUGUCAUUGAAUAUAAAGGUUCGUUCCAGUUUGGGGCUAUUGGAAAUAAAGCUGCUAUGAAUAUUUGUGAACAAGUCGUCUUUUUACAGACAUGUGUUUACUUCUCUCGGAUAAAUAUCUUGGAGUGGAAUUUCUGGGUCAUACAGCAAGUGUAUGUUGGAUUUUAUAAGAAAUGGCCAAACUGUUUCUAGAGCAGCUGUACCAUUUUACAUUCCCACCACUGGUUACCACUUUUAAAAAUCCCAAUGCCCAGGUCAGGUCGUAGCCAAAACUAAUUAAAUCAGAACCUCCAGGGAGUAGAAUACAGACAUCGGUUUUCUUAAAGCACCAAGGUGAUUCUAAUGUGCAGACAAGACUUCAAACCACUGCUAGAGAUCUCAGGGGCCAUUCAGCAGGCAAACAAGCGAAAGACAUAUCAUAUUUGCCUAUAGAAUUUCCUCACUCUUCCUUGAUAAUAGAGAGAGAGAAAAGAAGGAAAAACAAAAGCAGUGUCUAUCCAGUCUUCACACCACUGCCCUCAGAAAGCUUUGUUGAUCUCUCAGAUUCUCUCCACCUUACAGGAAGUAGGAGAAGGCCAGAAGAAUACAAAAUAAUAAGUACAUAUUAGCAACUUUUUAACAACUGAGUUUUGAGCUUAGCAUUUUAGUAGGGUUACCAUUCCCAGCCCUCACAAGAGCUCUACAAGAUAAGUACUACUAGAAUCACCAUGUUACAGAUGAAGAAGCUGGGGCUCAGAGAGGUUCAGUAACUUGCCCAAGAUCACACAGCCAGUUAUUGAUGCAGCAGGGAUUUAAACUUAAGUCUGUCUCCAAAGUCCAAGAGCUUAAACACUCCACUAGGCUCAGAGCCAUCGAUGGUCCUGGGGCCAUGAACCUCCUCCCACUCAGGUAUUUCUGGUAGCAGGAGAAUACAAGCCUCCAACCCAACUGUAAAAGAAGGCUGCAGGUGUGUUUACAAGACUAGCAGGAAAGGUAAUCUGCAAUGAGACUGAAAGGUGGGGGUUAAUUAUGGGAUUUCCUUUCCUUUCAAGCUUAAAGGAUGAGAUUUAAGCCCUUUUGGUACAGGGGAGGAGACCAAGCUGUUGCUGCAGCCUCCUCCCUCCGCCUCAGUUGGUACUUGGGACUGGAAAGAGGUAACAGAGAGCUAAGGAAGGAAGCCAGUGGAUAAGAAAGAGCCACCCAAGAGGCUGAAGCCUGGGCCAUCUGCCUGCCCAGCAGCUGCCUGGUCCUUUCACUGAACUCUUGUCUGACCUGCAGCAGACAAAGAGUAUUUGGCUGGAACAGGCUGCUGUUGUCAACUGAAACUGCUAUUUCAAAACAAGGAGUGAGGAUCAGCAGGGAGGAAAGCAUUUUUCAAAAUGUAUCCAGGGGCUAGGGGAAACUGGGUGCUUGCCACACAGGAACUUUCUGUACUAUCCUUUGCAACUUUUCUGUAAACCUAAGACUAUUCUAAAAUUAAAAGUUUUACUUAAAAUAAUAAAUACAUAAAUAAAAGUUAUUUGAAAGUUAUGGAGUCAUAUAGCAGGGGACAGAAGAGAAAAGCAAAAAGGAAGAAAAGCUGCUGUAUACACACAGCACAUGUGCUAACAUAAAAGUGGAAGGCAGGCAGGGUGUGGUGGCUCAUGCCUGUAAUCUCAGCACUUUGGGAAGUCAAGGCGGCCAGAUCACUUGAGCCCAGGAGUUCAAGACCAGCCUGAGCAACAUGGCGAGACCCUGUCUCUACAAAAAGUAAAAAGAAAAUUAGCCAGGUGUGGUGGCGCACACUGCAGUCCCAGCUCGGACUCGGAAGGCUGAGGUGGGAGGAUUGAGGAUGGCUUGAG
This 3656-nucleotide long non-coding RNA is filed under the name Homo sapiens (human). Its description in RNAcentral is "HSALNT0308985". The record is from RNAcentral. Lineage: Eukaryota; Metazoa; Chordata; Mammalia; Primates; Hominidae.